Molecule: ribosomal RNA, 484 nt
Filed under: uncultured bacterium
Lineage: Bacteria
Description: partial 16S ribosomal RNA
Rfam family: Bacterial small subunit ribosomal RNA
Source: RNAcentral
AUUGAACGCUGGCGGAAUGCUUUACACAUGCAAGUCGAACGGCAGCACGGGGGCAACCCUGGUGGCGAGUGGCGAACGGGUGAGUAAUACAUCGGAACGUGCCCGGUCGUGGGGGAUAACGUAUCGAAAGUUACGCUAAUACCGCAUACGAGCUGAGGAUGAAAGAGGGGGACCUUCGGGCCUCGCGCGAUCGGAGCGGCCGAUGUCAGAUUAGGUAGUUUGUGGGGGAGAGGCCUACCAAGCCGACGAUCUGUAGCUGGUCUGCGAGGCCGACAAGCCACACUGGGACUGGACCGCGGCCAGGAGUCCUACGGGAGGCAGCAGUGGGGAAUUUUAGGCAAUGGGCGCAAGCCUGAUCCAGCCAUCCCGCGUGCAGGACAAAGGCCUCCGGGUCGUAAACUGCUUUUGUAUGGAACGAAAAGGCUCUGGCUAAUACCUGGGGCUCAUGACGGUACCGUAAGAAUAAGCACCGGCUAACUACGUG